This 312-nucleotide ribosomal RNA is filed under the name Triticum aestivum (bread wheat). Its description in RNAcentral is "partial small subunit ribosomal RNA". The record is from RNAcentral. Lineage: Eukaryota; Viridiplantae; Streptophyta; Magnoliopsida; Poales; Poaceae.
AUGGAUGACAUUGUGGUCAAGUCGCGUAAAGGUUCCAACCUGCUGACCGACCUCGCAGAAACCUUUUCCAACCUAAGAAGGUAUGAUAUCAAGCUUAAUCCGUCAAAGUGCACAUUCGGAGUCCCAGGUGGAAAAUUACUCGGUUUCCUCGUUUCCGAACGAGGGAUCGACACAAAUCCAGAAAAAGCCGAUGCCAUCCUCCGAAUGAAACGCCCUAUGCGUGUGCAUGACAUUCAGAAGCUUGCUGGUUGUUUGGCCACCUUGAGUCGAUUCAUUUCUCGUCUCGAUAAAAAGGCCUUACCUCUUUACUGA